GCAUAUGUAGCAUAAAACACAUUCUAAGCAUAUUUCCAUAAAGCCUUAUGGGAGGUACCGUCACAGAGUGCAUGUUGUAACCAUCAGCAUGAGUCAAGUUACUGUUGUAGUGGGGGAAUUUGCUAUGGGGAGGGUAUUUCUUAGGGUUAGUUGUAUGGGUUACUUGGGGUGAGGGUAUUGCUGUCGGGAAAGGUGUGUGGAAUGCGGGAUGAACAGGAUAGGAUAACUGGGGUGCUGGUGAAUGGGAGGUUGCUCUAGGUCAUCUGAGGCUGAUCAGAGUUUUGGCUGUAGAUGGAAUUUAUUAGGUGACGGGAAUUGAUUAGAGGGCUUCCUCAGGGAUAGGGCAGGGGAAGAGCAGUCGGGGGAAUUGAGCAGGGCAUGGAAGGAAGGAGGAGGUGGAGUUUCUGAAGAGUCAGUGAGAAGUGAAAGAGUUAAAAAAUAAACAACUCUGGCACUUCCCAGCCUAUAUAAUAGACACUCCUUUAUGAAAAGAAUUACUGUUAACUGCUGCCCAGAAACAAUAUCAGAGCAAAGCUUUUGAUCUACAGGUGUGUGGGUUAUGUCAAAAUCAAGAUGAAUUUUAAAGUUCACAUCACUGUGCUCUUUUUUUGCUUCUCUGCUUUUGCCAAGGAAGGCACAGGAAGAUAUAAAGGACUAAAUAGAACUGGACAAUUACCAAGCUACCCGGUUUGUGUUCAUUAUAUCCUCAAACCAAUGUGUAUUUUGUAUUAUCGCCCUGUCUGUGGCAGUGACGGGACAACCUACCGGAACAAGUGCGAGCUCUGCAGUUACUGCAGAGAACAUAACAAGAAUAUAAAGAUUGUAAAGGAAGGAGCAUGUUAAAGAUUGAGGAUAUCACCAUCUGUCUUGUCUUGCACGCCCUGGAAUCCUUAAGGCUUAUUAAUAUGUAAUCCUGCAGUGGUGCCAAGGGGCUGACUAGAUUUCCUCUUGAGGUUCCUACAUUCUCAUGACUAUGUUAAUAUUGUACUAAUGCUAUAAUUUUAGUUUGUUUAAAAAA
Trachemys scripta elegans is the source of this 1018-nucleotide long non-coding RNA. RefSeq lists it as uncharacterized. The record is from RefSeq and is a predicted model, not a curated record. Lineage: Eukaryota; Metazoa; Chordata; Testudines; Emydidae. The transcript is spliced from 4 exons.